Molecule: long non-coding RNA, 348 nt
Organism: Caretta caretta (loggerhead turtle)
Lineage: Eukaryota; Metazoa; Chordata; Testudines; Cheloniidae
Source: RefSeq, a predicted model, not a curated record
GAGAAGCAAUCAGGCUAGAGAAGAAAAAUCCUUUCAGCAAACUGGUGAAAAGCUGCCCAGAGACAACACCCCAGAGAAGGAAUGACUGGAUCUACAGGCUGGAGAAGCCUUCAGAACCAAUGGAGAAGAGAAAGGAACCAAGCGCUUUGGACUUCAUGGGAGAUCCUGACACAAGGGGAGGUCAGCCAUCUUGCUGGAAGUAUCUUUCCAGGUAUCAAAGUUAGGCGGACUGGGUCCUUGUCAUUCCCCUUUUUAAAAGAAUUAGCUGCAACUAAAAAGUGACGAGAGAGAGAGUCCAGAGCGGAGAAUAGAAGGUUUAAACCCCCUAAAAAUACCCAUUUAAACGAA